UCCCAGUCUUUACGGAUACCCGGCCGAC
Molecule: small RNA, 28 nt
Filed under: Bombyx mori (domestic silkworm)
Lineage: Eukaryota; Metazoa; Arthropoda; Insecta; Lepidoptera; Bombycidae
Description: piRNA piR-bmo-1329164
Source: RNAcentral